AUGGCAUCUAGCUCAAUGUCAGCAUCUAGCUCAUGGAGUGUUAAGGACAAUAAAGCCUUUGAAAGAGCUCUAGCUGUUUAUGAUAAAGAUGCGCCAGAUCGUUGGUACAAUGUAGCUCAUGCUGUUGGUGGCAAAACUCCGGAGGAAGUUAGGAAACAUUAUGAACUCCUUGUUGAAGAUGUUAAGCGGAUUGAGUCGGGCAAAGUUCCGUACCCAAAUUACAAGAAAAAUUCAGUCUCUCAACAAGAGAAAAGGAUGAGGAACCUGAGCCUUCAUUGA
This 279-nucleotide long non-coding RNA is filed under the name Vicia faba (fava bean). Lineage: Eukaryota; Viridiplantae; Streptophyta; Magnoliopsida; Fabales; Fabaceae. The record is from RNAcentral.